UGCUCUGUGAUACUCUGCAAUAUUGCAGUAUACGCUAUUCUGAUUCAAAUUAUGAGCAGAAAAUUUAUAUUGAUGAGAGCU
Vicia villosa (hairy vetch) is the source of this 81-nucleotide small nucleolar RNA. RefSeq annotates it as small nucleolar RNA U54. The record is from RefSeq and is a predicted model, not a curated record. The transcript has a single exon. Lineage: Eukaryota; Viridiplantae; Streptophyta; Magnoliopsida; Fabales; Fabaceae.